RNAcentral lists this long non-coding RNA (254 nucleotides) under Olea europaea (common olive). RNAcentral describes it as "long non-coding RNA (OEUR_LNC004028)". The record is from RNAcentral. Lineage: Eukaryota; Viridiplantae; Streptophyta; Magnoliopsida; Lamiales; Oleaceae.
UUGGCUGCUCAGAUGAGGGAACUUCAAGCCAAAAUGGACGAUUGUAGGGCGAGGAUGGCUGCUAAAAAGCGCAACGCCUCUCAGGGGAUUGAGCGAACUAAAUCCUUGGUCGAACAGUACAAGAAGUUGGAGGUUGAUGAUGAUGACGUUGCGGCUGAAUUGAACAUUACUUCCUCCCGACAGAACGAGGAUUGGGAAAAACUUAGGGAACGAAUUCGUUCCUUAUGGGGUAGACUGUAAUUAAGACAUACGAU